This 91-nucleotide transfer RNA is filed under the name Candidatus Wolfebacteria bacterium. Its description in RNAcentral is "tRNA-Leu". It matches the Rfam family "tRNA". From Rfam's summary of the family: Transfer RNA (tRNA) molecules are approximately 80 nucleotides in length. Lineage: Bacteria; Candidatus Wolfeibacteriota. The record is from RNAcentral.
GCCCGGGUGGCGAAACUGGUAGACGCGUGGGACUUAAAAUCCCUUGGCCUUUAAAACGGCCGUGCCGGUUCGAUUCCGGCCCCGGGCACUA